RNAcentral lists this ribosomal RNA (119 nucleotides) under Pteropus alecto (black flying fox). The record is from RNAcentral. Lineage: Eukaryota; Metazoa; Chordata; Mammalia; Chiroptera; Pteropodidae.
GUCUACGGCCAUACUACCCUGAACAAGACCAAUCCUGCCUGAUCUCGGAAGCUAAGCAGGGUUGGGCCUGGUUAGUAAUUGGAUGAGAGACCACCUAGGAAGACUGGGUGCUGUAGGUA